Molecule: unclassified non-coding RNA, 2460 nt
Filed under: Amphimedon queenslandica
Lineage: Eukaryota; Metazoa; Porifera; Demospongiae; Haplosclerida; Niphatidae
Description: uncharacterized LOC109591417, transcript variant X1
Source: RNAcentral
AAAUUCAUUCUUAAAAUAGCCGCAAUAUGCAAUAUUAAAAAUAGCCUUACAAAUAAGGAGAUGCUUGCAUGUAGAAGCUGUAUAAGCUGUCUUGAUCUUAUCACACGUGAUAUUAGCAGUGAUUUCACAUAAAAUUGCUUAUUCAAUGCUAUCACAUGAUUCUAACCCAUCUGACUAUGGACUUAUCUCAUAGAGAAAAAGAAUACAACAUCUCAAGAAAUAAUGGCCUAUGCGUGAUUUUCAAUAAUGUCAACUUUAAAAAUAUGGAAAGAAGGCUUGGAAGCCAUGAAGAUUCCAUACAAAUCGCAGAAACAUUCAGAUCCUUGGGCUUUGAAGUGUACACACACAUUGAUUGCACUUGUGAACAAAUGCGUUACUACCUUUCAAAUUUGAGGAAUGGACAAAAUAACAUCUCUUGUCUGUUCAUUGUUUUUCUGAGUCAUGGUGACAAGGAUGGAAUAUAUGGAGUGAUGGAGGAACGCAUCACAUUCACCGAAAUACAGAGUUGCUUAGUUAUGCACUUGAGACAUUUAGAAAAUACGAUUCCAGUAGUAUUUAUUUUUCAAAGCUGUCGAGAUGGAGAAAGGCCAAGCAAGGAUAUAAUCAAAUACCCAAGACCUAUCAGUGAUCAUUUCUUGUUAGUAUUUGCAACACAGCCUCACUGCAAGGCUUAUCGGGACCAUGAAAAAGGCAGUCUCUUUAUACAGUGUCUCUUAGCUGCAAUAAAGGAGGAACCACAAGAGACAAACAUGCUAAGUAUCCUAACGCGCACUAACUGCCUGCUGGGAGAGUCAGAGUGGAACAAAGAGACUAAUCAACGCCUUCAGUUUAAUUCACUGUUGCUAAAAGAUCUUCAUCUACCAAUUAGGAGACAGCUACAAUAUGGCCAACUAGAUCGGAAUUCUUGCAGCAAUAGUGAUGUCAGCACAGAGAGCACACAAGGAGAAGAAGAAAGCUCAUUAUAUAGAACUAUCAAGCCAGGAUUUCCAACCACUAUUCUCAAAUGUGGGCUUUGCCUUAUAUUAAAUAACAGCUCACAUCACAAACAAGAAGCACAUGACAAGCUGAAGAAGAAAAUGGAGGAACAAGGCUACUGUGUUCUCUCCUUCAAUAACAUCAAUUGGAGCAGCAUGAAAAUUUUGCUAGAAAUGGCUAGUAAAGUUGCCUGCGAAAAGUUCUUGCUAUUUGUGCUCAGUGAGGGAGAGCAGGAAUUAGUAUAUGACACUAAUCAAAAAGAGAUAAAAAAGAGACAGAUAAUUGACUUCUUCAUGGGUGCUGAUAAUCCAAUGAGAGAUACGCACAAGUUAUUUUACUUUCAAACAACUAUCAGUGAGCCAAAUGGAGCAGAAGCUCAGAAAAAAGAGAGGAGUACAAGAGAAAGCUUUCUUCUUCCUAGCAACUCUAUCUGCUAUCAAAUCUCAUCAGAAUCUUCACUCAUACCUUGCUUUCUCAAAACUAUGCAAGAGUACAAAGAAGAAUUUACAAAGCUGCCACUAAGAGACAUAUUAGCCCAUACAAGGAAGGAAGGAAAAAAGAGUGUUUCCCCAAAGGAAAUUAUAUGCUUCCAUGGCAGUUCAAAUCCAUCACAUAAUGAGCAUGCUGCUGAUAUGACAGUACAUUGCAACAAAGAAGACAUGUUGCUAGGAUAUUUGAUGUUAGUACCACAAAUUAAACUGACCAUUAAUCUCAAACUAAGGAAGAUCUAUACAAAAGAAGCUAUCAGUGGAACAGAACAAGACACUUUCUUUUGCUUGUUCUUCUUUCAUGAAUAUGAUGACAUCACCGGACAAAGUCUACAAACCUUUGAGGCAACAUUAACAGGCCAGGCACAAAAAAGCAAAGACCUCAUUAAAGCAAGAAGCAUCUGCCUGAUAGAGGAGGAACUACAUAAAAUUAUUGACAAUACAAUCAAAUCCUUUCCAGUAACAGAAGCAUUAAAGCAAGAGCUUCACACUUACCAAAUGUGUUCAAGGUGGACGAUGACAGCUUUUUUUGAAAGCAUGACUCAAACACAAUGCACCGAUCCUAAGGAUGUGAUGCGUGUCCACAGUGAGUAUGCUGAUUUCUCCCUUGGAGUGGUCAAACUUAUAAGAAACGAAUUAGAGAAAAUCAAAGAUCAAACUCCACACAUCGAUCAGCCAUUAGAAGAGCAGAAUAAAUAAGCAAAGGCUAGUGAUAUGACCAUAUCAAUUGACAGUCAUCUCCACAAAAAACAAACUGCAAUCAGUGUGAAAACAAAGGUACUACAGCAGGUACCAUAGUGUACAUGGACAACAGAGUCAAUUUGUAUUCAAGAAACAUCAAUUUACUAUUAAUAUACAUUCUAUAACAUUUUUAACUGAAAAUCAAAUUUUUGACAGUUAUUGUUGGACUAUUGUUCUUCUCCACAAUGAGAAAAUAUAUUCACGCAAGGAUGAUGUAAUUUUGUGACUAUUUUUACAGUUUUAAUCUGAACUGCUA